UGAUUUUUAAUUUUUGCAAAGUAGAGAGAGGACAGAUAUCUACUCCUGAACCUCCAUCGAUCAUUACCCCUUUUAUGUAAUAUCCUUCGCAUUUGAUAGUCAGAUGCAAAGCCUUGUUGUGACCAGAACCUUCUGUGGGUAACUCAUCAUCAGUGAAAGUGAUUCUAUUUGCUUCAAAUAUUCUACGAACCAUUCUUUCUAUUUGAAAUACCGUAGUUUCCUUCGGGACGUAUGCUUCAUUCAACAACUUAAUCAGUGUCUGACAAUGUUCUUUAGAAUGUAGCAGCAGGGAUAAUAAUGAUAUUUGAGCCGGG
Molecule: long non-coding RNA, 314 nt
Filed under: Capsicum annuum
Lineage: Eukaryota; Viridiplantae; Streptophyta; Magnoliopsida; Solanales; Solanaceae
Description: long non-coding RNA (CANN_LNC021586)
Source: RNAcentral